This 465-nucleotide ribosomal RNA is filed under the name uncultured bacterium. RNAcentral describes it as "partial 16S ribosomal RNA". It matches the Rfam family "Bacterial small subunit ribosomal RNA", at positions 339 to 795 of the family's 1533-position model. The record is from RNAcentral.
CUACGGGAUGCUCCAGUAGGGAAUCUUCCGCAAUGGACGAAAGUCUGACGGAGCAACGCCGCGUGAGUGAUGAAGGCUUUCGGGUCGUAAAACUCUGUUGUUAGGGAAGAACAAGUGCUAGUUGAAUAAGCUGGCACCUUGACGGUACCUAACCAGAAAGCCACGGCUAACUACGUGCCAGCAGCCGCGGUAAUACGUAGGUGGCAAGCGUUAUCCGGAAUUAUUGGGCGUAAAGCGCGCGCAGGUGGUUUCUUAAGUCUGAUGUGAAAGCCCACGGCUCAACCGUGGAGGGUCAUUGGAAACUGGGAGACUUGAGUGCAGAAGAGGAAAGUGGAAUUCCAUGUGUAGCGGUGAAAUGCGUAGAGAUAUGGAGGAACACCAGUGGCGAAGGCGACUUUCUGGUCUGUAACUGACACUGAGGCGCGAAAGCGUGGGGAGCAAACAGGAUUAGAUACCCCAGUAGUC